Molecule: transfer RNA, 75 nt
Filed under: Acidobacteriota bacterium
Lineage: Bacteria; Pseudomonadati; Acidobacteriota
Also listed under: 1 other name
Description: Acidobacteria bacterium tRNA-Cys
Rfam family: tRNA
About the family: Transfer RNA (tRNA) molecules are approximately 80 nucleotides in length. Their secondary structure includes four short double-helical elements and three loops (D, anti-codon, and T loops). Further hydrogen bonds mediate the characteristic L-shaped molecular structure. tRNAs have two regions of fundamental functional importance: the anti-codon, which is responsible for specific mRNA codon recognition, and the 3' end, to which the tRNAs corresponding amino acid is attached (by aminoacyl-tRNA synthetases). tRNAs cope with the degeneracy of the genetic code in two manners: having more than one tRNA (with a specific anti-codon) for a particular amino acid; and 'wobble' base-pairing, i.e. permitting non-standard base-pairing at the 3rd anti-codon position.
Source: RNAcentral
GGCGCGGUAGCCAAGUGGUAAGGCACGGGUCUGCAAAACCCUUAUUCGUCGGUUCGAUUCCGACCCGCGCCUCCA